RNAcentral lists this ribosomal RNA (820 nucleotides) under Stylochus ijimai. RNAcentral describes it as "partial 28S rRNA". It matches the Rfam family "Eukaryotic large subunit ribosomal RNA", at positions 494 to 1119 of the family's 3401-position model. Lineage: Eukaryota; Metazoa; Platyhelminthes; Polycladida; Stylochidae. The record is from RNAcentral.
ACGACUCCUCCGAUGUUACUUCUUUUUCGUGAUAGGUGCACUUUCCUCUUAGUCGGACCACGACCAGCGAGCUGUCUUGUCUAAGAUUUGUGGAAGGUAGCUUCUGCCCCGGUAGAAGUGUUAUAGCCACUCAUUUGGAGCGAGCGGAGCGUUGGAUAACUUGAUGCCUGCCCUUUGGGCUCGUACGUUGGCUUCUUUCUGCGGUGUUUCCGGCUUCACUGCCUCGGCAGGGGUGUUGGGGAUACUGUGGCUCGAGUCGGCCUCUGCGAUUGGCGUCUACAGUCAGUGGUUUCGAAGUAGGCAGUCCACCUGACCCGUCUUGAAACACGGACCAAGGAGUCUAACAUGUGCGCGAGUCAUUGGGCUCUACGAAACCUAAAGGCGCAGUGAAAGUGAAGAUUCAUUUUGGUGGAUUGAGGUAGGAUCCUGGGCUACGUGCUCAGGCGCACUACCGGCCCGUUCGACAUGUUUUCAUACGGGCGGAGCAAGAGCGUACACGUUGGGACCCGAAAGAUGGUGAACUAUGCUUGCGCAGGUCGAAGCCAGAGGAAACUCUGGUGGAGGACCGUAGCGAUUCUGACGUGCAAAUCGAUCGUCAAACGUGAGUAUAGGGGCGAAAGACUAAUCGAACCAUCUAGUAGCUGGUUCCCUCCGAAGUUUCCCUCAGGAUAGCUGGCACUCGGGAAAUGAAACAGUUUUAUCCGGUAAAGCGAAUGAUUAGAGGUAUUGGGACGAAACUGCUCUCAACCUAUUCUCAAACUUUAAAUGGGUAAGAUGCCCGACUCGCUCAAUUGGAGCCGGGCUUCCUUCUGAAUGUGAG